CCCCUCUCAGGAUGGCAUCUGGAGAGUUUCCAGUCCUCUACCAGCCUCGGCUACGGGAGAGAGAGUCAAGCAGAGGCCUGUCCAUCCCAUUCCUAGCUUGGGCAGUGGCUAGCGAGCGGAAGGCCAUCUGCUACAAGU
RNAcentral lists this small nucleolar RNA (138 nucleotides) under Ornithorhynchus anatinus (platypus). Lineage: Eukaryota; Metazoa; Chordata; Mammalia; Monotremata; Ornithorhynchidae. The record is from RNAcentral.